AUGCACGCUGGCGGCGUGCCUCAUACAUGCCAGUCGAGCGAACGGACGAGAAGCUUGCUUCUCUGAUGUUAGCGGCGGACGGGUGAGUAACACGUGGAUAACCUACCUAUAAGACUGGGAUAACUUCGGGAAACCGGAGCUAAUACCGGAUGAUAUUUUGAACCGCAUGGUUCAAAAGUGAAAGACGGUCUUGCUGUCACUUAUAGAUGGAUCCGCGCUGCAUUAGCUAGUUGGUAAGGUAACGGCUUACCAAGGCAACGAUGCAUAGCCGACCUGAGAGGGUGAUCGGCCACACUGGAACUGAGACACGGUCCAGACUCCUACGGGAGGCAGCAGUAGGGAAUCUUCCGCAAUGGGCGAAAGCCUGACGGAGCAACGCCGCGUGAGUGAUGAAGGUCUUCGGAUCGUAAAACUCUGUUAUUAGGGAAGAACAUAUGUGUAAGUAACUGUGCACAUCUUGACGGUACCUAAUCAGAAAGCCACGGCUAACUACGU
RNAcentral lists this ribosomal RNA (495 nucleotides) under uncultured bacterium. RNAcentral describes it as "partial 16S ribosomal RNA". It matches the Rfam family "Bacterial small subunit ribosomal RNA", at positions 29 to 506 of the family's 1533-position model. The record is from RNAcentral.